GAUGAACGCUGGCGGCGUGCCUAAUACAUGCAAGUCGAACGCACAGCGAAAGGUGCUUGCACCUUUCAAGUGAGUGGCGAACGGGUGAGUAACACGUGGAUAACCUACCUCAAGGUUGGGGAUAACAUUUGGAAACAGAUGCUAAUACCGAAUAAAACUUAGUAUCGCAUGAUACCAGGUUAAAAGGCGCUACGGCGUCACCUAGAGAUGGAUCCGCGGUGCAUUAGUUAGUUGGUGGGUAAAGGCUUACCAAGACAAUGAUGCAUAGCCGAGUUGAGAGACUGAUCGGCCACAUUGGGACUGAGACACGGCCCAAACUCCUACGGGAGCUGCAGUAGGGAAUCUUCCACAAUGGGCGAAAGCCUGAUGGAGCAAGCCGCGUGUGUGAUGAAGGCUUUCGGGUCGUAAAGCAACUGUUGUAUGGGAAGAACAGCUAGAGUAGGAAUGACUUAGUUGA
This 457-nucleotide ribosomal RNA is filed under the name uncultured bacterium. RNAcentral describes it as "bacterial SSU rRNA". It matches the Rfam family "Bacterial small subunit ribosomal RNA", at positions 28 to 472 of the family's 1533-position model. The record is from RNAcentral.